UUAAGUCAGAUGUGAAAUCCCCGAGCUUAACUUGGGAACUGCAUUUGAAACUGGCAAGCAAGCUAGAGUCUUGUAGAGGGGGGUAGAAUUCCAGGUGUAGCGGUGAAAUGCGUAGAGAUCUGGAGGAAUACCGGUGGCGAAGGCGGCCCCCUGGACAAAGACUGACGCUCAGGUGCGAAAGCGUGGGGAGCAACCAGGAUUAGAUACCCUGGUAGUCCACGCUGUAAACGAUGUCGAUUUGGAGGUUGUGCCCUUGAGGCGUGGCUUCCGGAGCUAACGCGUUAAAUCGACCGCCUGGGGAGUACGGCCGCAAGGUUAAAACUCAAAUGAAUUGACGGGGGCCCGCACAAGCGGUGGAGCAUGUGGUUUAAUUUGAUGCAACGCGAAGAACCUUACCUACUCUUGACAUCCACAGAAUUCGGUAGAGAUACCUUAGUGCCUUCGGGAACUGUGAGACAGGUGCUGCAUGGCUGUCGUCAGCUCGUGUUGUGAAAUGUUGGGUUAAGUCCCGCAACGAGCGCAACCCUUAUCCUUUGUUGCCAGCGGUUCGGCCGGGAACUCAAAGGAGACUGCCAGUGAUAAACUGGAGGAAGGUGGGGAGGACGUCAAGUCAUCAUGGCCCUUACGAGUAGGGCUACACACGUGCUACAAUGGCGUAUACAAAGAGAAGCGACCUCGCGAGAGCAAGCGGACCUCAUAAAGUACGUCGUAGUCCGGAUUGGAGUCUGCAACUCGACUCCAUGAAGUCGGAAUCGCUAGUAAUCGUAGAUCAGAAUGCUACGGUGAAUACGUUCCCGGGCCUUGUACACACCGCCCGUCACACCAUGGGAGUGGGUUGCAAAAGAAGUAGGUAGCUUAACCUUCGGGAGGGCGCUUACCACUUUGUGAUUCAUGACUGGGUGAAGUCG
Molecule: ribosomal RNA, 908 nt
Filed under: Pectobacterium carotovorum
Lineage: Bacteria; Pseudomonadati; Pseudomonadota; Gammaproteobacteria; Enterobacterales; Pectobacteriaceae
Description: bacterial SSU rRNA
Rfam family: Bacterial small subunit ribosomal RNA
Source: RNAcentral